Pezoporus flaviventris is the source of this 311-nucleotide long non-coding RNA. RefSeq lists it as uncharacterized. The transcript is spliced from 3 exons. The record is from RefSeq and is a predicted model, not a curated record. Lineage: Eukaryota; Metazoa; Chordata; Aves; Psittaciformes; Psittacidae.
AGAGGCAGAGAGGUAGCAGAGAUGAUGGAAUUGCAGCCCUGCCUCAAGAGACAAAUAGGAAGCACACACUGUAUUUCUCUUCUUCUCCCAGGAUGACAAGAGGCUCUUUGCUGCAGAAGGGACAGCAUCACAAAAGCCAGAAGAGGGACAGUAUUCAGCUGAGCAGGGGAGCAGAAGGAGCAACAAGAUGUCACUAAAUGUGAUAAAAAUCCCUCAAACUAUGGAUCUAAUGUAUCAAACCCACAGCUUGCCUGCAAAGGAGUCAGUGGAAAUUGUACGUGCUCAGCACAUCUGGAGGAAGACAGACAGGC